This 253-nucleotide ribosomal RNA is filed under the name uncultured bacterium. RNAcentral's name for it is "partial 16S ribosomal RNA". It matches the Rfam family "Bacterial small subunit ribosomal RNA", at positions 524 to 776 of the family's 1533-position model. The record is from RNAcentral.
UACGAAGGGGGCUAGCGUUGUUCGGAAUUACUGGGCGUAAAGGGUGCGUAGGCGGGUUAUUAAGUCAGAGGUGAAAUCCUGGAGCUCAACUCCAGAACUGCCUUUGAUACUGAUAGUCUUGAGUAUGGGAGAGGUGAGUGGAACUGCGAGUGUAGAGGUGAAAUUCGUAGAUAUUCGCAAGAACACCAGUGGCGAAGGCGGCUCACUGGCCCAUUACUGACGCUGAGGCACGAAAGCGUGGGGAGCAAACAGG